AUUGAACGCUGGCGGCAUGCCUUACACAUGCAAGUCGAACGGCAGCAUCGGGAGCUUGCUCUCUGAUGGCGGGUGGCGAACGGGAGCGUCACUCAUCGUCACGUACAGUGUAGUGGGGGGUAACUUAUAGCAAGUUACGCUAAUACCGCAUACGCACUGAGGUGGAAAAUAGGCGAUCGUUAGACUAGGUGCUUUAUAAGCGACAGAUGUAAGAUUGGCUAGUUGGUGGGGUAGUGGCCUACCAAGGCGACGAACGUUAGCGCCUCUGAGAGGCUGAUCCGACACCCUGGGAGUGAGAAACGGCCGAGACUCCGACGGGGGGCAGCAGUGGGGAAUUUUAGGCAAUGGGGGAAACCCGGAUACAGCCAUGCGGGGGGAGUGAAGAAGGACUUCGGGUGGUAAAGCUCUGUAGGCCGGGAAGAAAUAGAACAGGCUAAUCCCCUGUGUGGAUGACGGUACCGGCAGAAGAAGCACCGGCUAACUACGUG
This 488-nucleotide ribosomal RNA is filed under the name uncultured bacterium. RNAcentral's name for it is "partial 16S ribosomal RNA". It matches the Rfam family "Bacterial small subunit ribosomal RNA", at positions 29 to 507 of the family's 1533-position model. The record is from RNAcentral.